This 2234-nucleotide long non-coding RNA is filed under the name Homo sapiens (human). Its description in RNAcentral is "HSALNT0384649". Lineage: Eukaryota; Metazoa; Chordata; Mammalia; Primates; Hominidae. The record is from RNAcentral.
CCCAUCUUGAUCCUGGGGUACUGACAAGAAAUAUUUUGGAGAAGUUAGAUAGGGUAGAGGCAGAAGUAGACGCAAUUAAACAUGAAGGAUUGUGAAGGCAAAAGAUGAACCAGCCAGCCUAGUCUCUGGAUGCAUAAGCUCCAAGUGUGGAGGAGACCCGGAGAGAAAAGCAGACUGUUCUCUGUGUUUACCUGUAAGCACAGGCCGCAACCUGCCAUGCUGUUUUUAAAUGCCCAAGAGCUGGUGACAAGAGGGUUUCCCUUUGCCAUCUGGACCUGAUUGCCUUAGAGGCUUGGGGAGGAGGGGAGAGAGAGGAAGCUUCAAGAGUGUCUUUGUGGUUGCUGGUUGACCAGUAUAAACGGUAUUUACACAUUUAGAGUGGCAGACUCACCAGUACGUGAGAGAAUUGUCGAUGAUGCAGGCAACUUACAUGAAAUGUACCCCUCCAGCAUUCAACGCAGCAGAAUCACCUAGUAGAAGUUAUUCUCUUUCUAAUUUGUUUUCAGUUGUUUUAAUUUCAUCGAGUCUCAAGUUGGUGCUAGCCUAGGUCAUUAACACCUCCCGGACACUUGCUAACCUUGCCUUUUUUUUUUUUCCCGGACGGAGUCUUGCUCUGUCACCCAGGCUGGAGUGCAGUGGCAUCAUCUCGGCUCACUGCAACCUCCGCCUCCUGGAUUCAAGCGAUUCUCCUGCCUCAGCCUCCCAAGUAGCUGGGAUUACAGGCACCCCCAACUUUGGCCAAUUAAUUUUGGUAUUUUUAGUAGAGACAGGGUUUCACCAUGUUGGCCAGGCUGGUCUUGAACUCCUGACCUCAGGUGAUCCACCCAUCUCAGCCUCCCAAAGUACUGGGAUUACAGGUAUGAGCCACCAUGCCUGGCCUAAUCUUGCCUUUUAGCAACCAUGACAGCACCAGUCUUCAGGCUUACAGCGAGCGAGAGCAACCAGCUAUCUUUUAAUCAUAGUAUUGCUUUUGGUUGUAUUUAUUUUCUACAGACCAUGAGAGGGGCUUUUUGUUAUGGCUGGUUCUUUUUAGAGGAAAGACAAAUAAUGAAUCAGUAAUAAUUGAGUUGGAACAAGGAUACAGUGCCUCAUGGCAGAGGCCUGAAAAAGAGCCCAGAUUUCCAGCUCCUAUUCAGCGAAGUGGGUUCCCCAGGUGGCAGGCUGCAGAUCAAGCUUGGGGAAGGUUCUGGUCUGAGGUCAGUGGGUCCAGCUGGUCAGCAGAUGGCAACGAGGGAACUUUGGAUGAGAGUUGUUGUCGGAGCCCGCCGGCCUGGUUUUGCAGCCUGCUUGAAGCCCGUCUCUUCCCUGGGAUGACAGAAGCCAGUUCAUCAGUGUUCACCGUGGGACACGAGGCUGAGGAGAGUGGGUGGCUGCUGAAGUCACCUUUGCUUCUGGCGGCCAAACCUGAUUUUGCUCUGGGCGAUCAUUGUUCACUACUCUCAGAUCUGGGUUUGAGCAGACUGGACCCACCUCGGGCCAUCCGCGCUUGUCUUCGUUGCUUUGGGUACGGUGAUGGGUUCUAGAUGGGUAGUGAGAUGCAAAGAGGCUUUUUCUGGGAAUGCUGGGGCUGGAUCUUUCCCACUGGCUUUGAACCCAAGAAGGGGAGAUGCCAGAACCCCUGUAUCCCCUAUGAGGAGGGCGCUCACAGCAGAUAAUGGAGCCGAGAAACCCAAUCCUGAUGGUAUCGGUUCCAUCCUGGAUCCAGCUGUGCCCGAAGCUAGGCUCUACCCUUGGCCGCCUUUGGAGCUACCCACCAAGCCAAUAAAUUCCCCUUUCAUGUAAUCCAGUGAGGAUCAGUGUUUCGGUUGCUUGCAACCACAAGCGUCUUAACUGAUGAAAUGGCUCAUUGCAAAUCCUUGGCCACUGAGAGAGAAAGAACUCAAAGGGCAGGUACUGCGGACAUGGGUGAGGGACGUAGUCGCUAUACCCAUACACCAGCAUAGGAAAAGCUGUCAUUGUCACAGGAAGCUCCAACAUUUAGAUGAUCAUGUAUCAGGCACAGGCCAAGGGCCUGGCAUGCAAUGGUUUAUUUAAUCCUACGUUGGUUUAUUUUGAUCACCAUUUUAAAGAUUAGAAAACUGAGGCUCAGAGACCUUCUGUGGACCUCAGUGGCAGAGCUGGGUUGGGUUCCUUGACACUGUGUCGUCCCAGCCACCCUUCUGUAGUAAGCAAGUAGGUGGCUCACUGGCAAAUACAAAACUCAGACACUGUGUGAUGGGAAGGGGGACAAAGGG